This 10282-nucleotide long non-coding RNA is filed under the name Homo sapiens (human). Its description in RNAcentral is "non-protein coding lnc-ADAMTSL5-2:1". Lineage: Eukaryota; Metazoa; Chordata; Mammalia; Primates; Hominidae. The record is from RNAcentral.
CUGCAACCUCCGCCUGCCAGGUUCAAGCGAUUCUCCUGCCUCAGCCUCCUGAGUAGCUGGGAUUACAGGAAGGCUCCACCACGCCCAGCUAAUUUUUGUAUUUUUAGUAGAGAUGGGGUUUCACCGUGUUGGUCAGGUUGGUCUCAAACUCUUCACCUUGCGAUCUGCCCGCCUCGGCCUCCCAAAGCACUGGGAUUAGAGGUGUGGACCACAGUGCCUGGCCCAAAAACGUCAUGCAUUUUCCAUGCUGUGGUUUUGUACGCAGGAGCCAAUACCUUUUUUUUUUUUUUUUUUCCUGGGAGGCAAAUGCUUCCUAAGGCUCCCCCAAAGCUUGCUCCGUAACAGCCCAGGCAGGCCAGACCCCACCCUGCCGAGCCCCAGUGCCCCGAGUUUGAGCCCCGGGCUCACCUGCACCAUCCCAUUGCUGAACAGCAGCAGCAGGGCGUGCUCAGAGGCCAGGAAGCGCAGGAGGCAGAGGCCGGGUCCAGCAGGUGGCACAGGUGUGGGGAGGGUCCCCUCCUGUGGACAGACUCGGCUGAGGUCACGUGACGCAGGGGGCGUCCCCACCCCUCGCCCCCACACCCAGCACCCCAGCUCUCACCUCCCGCAGCCGCCGCCGCAGGCAGCCGGCAAAGAGCUGCAGCACGGCCAGCUUGGCGCCCAGCAGGCCGGGCACAUCCCUCAGGGCGAAGGCUUCCAGCCUCCCGCAGUUGGGCAUGUAGCACACUUGGCUGGGGCCAGGACACAGGGCCUCUGUCCUGGACAGCCCAGGCCAGUGGACACCCUUCCAUUGACCUACACCCCCUGGAAUGGUGGCUUUAAAGAGCAGCUCUGCCCUAGUUACACCUUAUCCAUAUGCCCAGUGCGGCUCUCUGUCCUCUCUUCACCUCAGCUGACAGCUGGUCCACCCUUCCUGCCUUCCAACUCUAUCCACACUGCAGCCCCUCUCAUCCCUCCCCGGUCACCAGCACAGCCCAGGCCUCCGCCACUGCCCACCUGAUGAGUCCAGCCACCUCCCCACUGGCCCCCAUGUCACUCCCGCUAGAAAGAUUGUGUUAAGGCCGGGCGCGGUGGCUCACACCUAUAAUCCCAGCACUUUGGGAGGUCCAGGUGGGAGGAUCACCUGAGGUCGGGAGUUCGAGACCAGCCUGGCCAACAUGGAGAAACCCCGUCUCUACUAAAAUUCAAAAUUAGCCAGGCGUGGUGGCGGGUGCCUGUAAUCCCAGCUACCCCGAUCCCGGGAUGGGGAGGUUGCGCUGAGCCGAGAUUGCACUCCAGCCUGGGCAACAAGAGCACAACUCCGUCUCAAAAAAAAGAGACAGAGUCUCGUUCUGUCACCCAGGCUGGAGCGCAGUGGUGCAAUCAUGGCUCACUGGAGCCUUGACCUCCUGGGACCAAGUGAUCCUCCCACCUCAGCCAUCCAAGUAGCUGGGACCUACUGAUGCAUACCCUUGCAGUUGGCUAAUUUAAAAAAAAAAAAACUUGGCCAGGCGCGGUGGCUCACGCCUGUAAUCCCAGCACUUUGGGAGGCCGAGGCGGGCAGAUCACGAGGUCAGGAGAUCGAGACCAUCCUGGCUAACACAGUGAAACCCCGUCUCUACUAAAAAUACAAAAAAUUAGCCAGGAGUGGCUGAGCGCGGUGGCUCAUGCCUAUAAUCCCAGCACUUUGGGAGGCUGAGGCGGGUGGAUCACCUGAGGUCAGGAGUUCGAGACCCGCCUGGCCAACAUGGAGAAACCCCGUCUCUAAUAAAAAUACAAAAUUAGCCAGGAGUGGUGGCGGGCACCUGUAAUCCCAGCUACUUAGGAGGCUGAGGCAGGAGAAUGGUGUGAACCCGGGAGGUGGAGCUUGCAGUGAGCCGAGAUUGCGCCACUGCACUCCAGCCUGGGUGACAGAGUGAGACUCCAUCUCAAAAAAAAAAAAAAAAAAAGAAGAAAAUUUUGUAGAGAAAGGUCUUGCUGUGUGGCCCAGGCUGAUCUCAAACUGCUGGGCUCAAGUGAUUCUCCCACCUCAGCCUCCCACAGUGCCAGGAUUACCGGUGUGCACCACCACGCCCAGCUAAUUUUUAAUUUUUUUGUGGAGAUGGGGUCUUGCUAUGAGGCCAAGGCUGAUCUCAAACUGCUGGGUUCAAGCGAGUCCGCACCUCAGCCUCCAACGUGCCAGGAUUAUAGGUGUGUGCCACCACACCAAGCUAAUUAUUAAAAUUUUUGUAGGGAUGGGGUCUUGCUAUGUUGUCCAGGCUGAUCUCGAUCUCCUGGGCUCAAGGAAUCCUGCCUUGGCCUCCCAAAGCACAGGGCUGCCGCUUGUCAUUCACGUCACUUUCUCAGAGACCCCUUCCCCUUCCCCCUACCCACACUACUGAGAUUCACCUCCCCUCCUAAUCUGCCUCUUCACUGGGUUCAUUUACUACAGAAACGCACUUGCUGAUUCGUUUAGUGUUGUUCUCCCCGACCAGGCAGGGAGCACCUGUAGGUGUGCACAGUAGGUGCUUAAUAAAUACUUGAGAGAUGAAUGAAAAAAGGCAGGGGGAGUGCCUGGUCCCCCAGGGCACAGGAGGCCACAACUUACCCUCCGGGGGGUCGCAGGGCCAUGUGGGUGCCGUCCCGUGCGCCCCCCGUCCAAGAGCUGGUAGCCAAAGCCGUAUUUGCUGGAAUAAUCCACCCAUUUGGGGGCCCAGAGGAUGGGCUGCUGCUCUCCCAGGGGGUCCUGUGUGGCUGGGCACAAACAAAGGUAUGCUGAGCCAGGGGUCAGGGGUCAGGCAUAUAGUAGGCACUCAAUAAAUGUGAUGGACUGAAACCAUGGGUGAGACCCUUCCCACGGCGGGGACCGGACAGAGGCUUGGGGGCUUCGGUGGUGGAUUCUAGGAGACCAGACAUCAACAGAAGCCACGGAACCGUAACUAAUUUCUGGCUUGCAGAGGGAGACUGUGGGAUACUGGCGCACCCCUGGGAAUGAGCAAUUCUCAAAUACUUGCAAUGCUCUGAAAAUACUACACAUUUCUGGGUGUGUGUGUUUUUGUUUGUUUUGUUUUGUUUUGUUUUUUUGAGACAGAGUCUUGCUCUGUCCCCAGGCUGGAGUGCAGUGGCGCAAUCUCGGCUCACUGCAACCUCCGCCUCCUGGGUUCAAGCGAUUCUCCUCCCUCAGCCUCCUGAGUAGCUGGGAUCACAGGCACGUGCCACCACACCCAGCUAAUUUUUGUGUUAUUAGUAGAGAUGGGGUUUCACCAUGUUGGCCAGGAUGGUUUCGAUCUCCUGACCUUGUGAUCCACCUGCUUCAGCCUCCCAAAGUGCUGGGAUGACAGGCAUGAGCCACCACGCCCUGCCCCGUUUCUGGGUUUUUGCUUGUUUGUCUGUUGGCUUUUCAGACAGGGUCUCGCUCUGUUGCCCAGGCUGAAGUGCAGUGGCACGAUCUCAGCUCACUGCAGCCUCCACCUCCGAGCUCAAGUGAUCCUCCUUCCUCAGCCUCCUGAGUAUCUGGGACAACAUGCAUGCACCACCAUGCCCGGCUCAUUUUUUUGUAGAGAUGGGGUCCUGAGGCUGGGCGCGGUGGCUUAUACCUGUAAUCCUAGCACUUUGGGAGGCCGAGACAGGCGGAUCACGAGGUCAGGAGAUCGAGACCAUCCUGGCUAACACAGUGAAACCCCGUCUCUACUAUAAAUACAAAAAUUAGCCGGGCAUGGUGGCGGGUGCCUGUAGUCCCAGCUGCUGGGGAGGCUGAGGCAGGAGAAUGGCGUGAACCCGGGAGGCAGAGCUUGCAGUGAGCCGAGAUCACGCCACAGCACUCCAGCCUGGGCGACAGAGUGAGACUCCGUCUCAAAAAAAAAAAAAAAAAAAAAAAAAAAAAAAAAUGCGCCCAGGCGUGGUGGCUGACGACGUCUGUAAUCCCAGCACUUUGGGAGGCUGAGGCGGCCAGAUCACCGGAGGUCAGGAGUUCGAGACCAGCCUGGCCAACAUGGUGAAACCCUGUCUCUACUAAAAGAAUACAGAAAUUAGCAGGUGUGGUGGCACACGCCUGUAAUCUCAGCUACUCGGGAGGCUAAGGCAGGAGAAUCGCUUUGAACCCAGGAGGUGGAGGUUGUGAUGAGCCAAGAUGGCACCAUUGCACUCCAGCCUAGGCAACAGAGUGAGAUUCCGUCUCUUAAAAAAAAAGAAAGAAAAGGAAAAGAAAAGGCUUCUGGGCUGGAGACCUGGCGUGGGGUUUGGGGCUCCCUCUCUAAGGGUGGCAGUAUGUGUGGGUCAGUGGAGGCUCAGGGAGAGGAGGGGAGAGGAAGAGGGUUUGGGUUCUGGGACACUGGGGAUAAGAGGGGUCCCCCUUUGGAGUGUGGCCUGUGGGCACAGGGCUCUGUGUCCAACGUCCCAGGUCACGUUUCCUCACUCACUGGGUCUCUAACGAGCCCGGGUCAUGAAUUUAAGAGACCGUGAAACGUAAGGCUGCCGCAGAGCCCUCCGUGCCAGGCUCUGCACACAGGAGGGCUAACCCACUCUCCUGAUGUCACCGUGUCCUGGGGCCUCCCUCACCCCUACUCCUCACCCCCAGAAAUACCCAGGAGGGCCCAGGAUGGGAAUGAAGGCAAUUUUACUUGGCUAGUAAGAGUAAAGGUGAUCCUGGGGGCUGGGCCGGCUCCUACCCGGGGGGCCUACAUCCAGGCACAGCUGCAGGUGUCUGAGGGCCGCCUCCACCUCUGGCCGCCGGCUCCCCUCGGGCCCUGGGAAGACAGGUCUUUGUGCCGCAGACAGGUCUGGGUUCCCACCACCAGGCUCUUCCAACCAGUCCCCCUCCCCACGGCUCCAUCCAGGAACAUCUCAUCCUCAACCCAGAGGCGGCAUUCCCAUUUGACAGGCGGGAAAGGUGAGGCCGGGACGGCGGCUGUGACCCUGGUAAGCCACGGCCUUGGUCCCCCUGUCACUUGUAAUUCCUCCCUCCCCACCUGCAGCCCCGGGCUGGGACGGGGAUCUGCUCACCGGCCAGGUCACUCUGCAGGGUCCCUUGUGCGACCAGGUGGAUGGGGCCUUCCAGGCAGGGAACCUCUUUCGCAGACAGGGAGCUCUGAGGUGGGAGCAGCAGGGGUGGGGGUGGCCCCGGCCCCAGCCCCAGGGACAGGCGUGAGGUGGGUGGCAGGCUCUGGCCCCUGCCUGUGCCCUCCGUGCUCUGCACACAGAGGCACUGCUUUCCCCUUGGGAGGCAGCCUCGGAGUGUCUCGGAGGCAUACAGUAGGUGCUCAAUAAAUGUGAUGGACUGAAGCCAUGGAUGGGACCCUUCCCAUGGCCUCGAGCCCGGCCCUUGGGAAAGCCCAGGUGGGCACAUUUGGACACAAAUGGAUCCCAGCUCUGAUGCGUCAGGACGGGACUAGGGGGAGGGGGCCGGGCUUGGAGACCCCAGAAGGGGUUCAGAGAAGCCGGCAUGGGGGAGGGGGUUUUAGCAGGGGCCAGCAUGCCCUCCACCUGUGUCUCCCCGUGUCCCCCACCCCGAUGUCUCACCUCGCCGUCCCACUCCAUGGAGUCAGGGUCUGGCCCACCUUCUCCUGGACCCGAGGCCUCUUUAGGCGUGAAGGGGCCUGAGGGAGGCACAAGGCCUUGGAGGGGGCACAGCCUGGGCCCCAAGCUGGGGGUAGGGGGGCACCUGCCACCCACACCCACCCCUGAUGUGGAGACAGAGCGGAGCAGGUGGCAGUUGUGGGCAGGUGGGAGGUGUGGGCAGGCGGGAGGUGUGGGCAGGUGGGGGCAGGUAGCAGGCGUAGGCAGGUGUGGGCAGGUGGGAGGUGUGAGCAGGUGGGAGGUGUGGGCAGGUGGGAGGUGUGGGCAGGUGGGAGGCGUGGGCAGGUGGGAGGCGUGGGCAGGUGGGAGGCGUGGGCAGGUGGGAGGUGUGGGCAGGUGGGAGGCGUGGGCAGGUGGGAGGUGUGGGCAGGUGGGAGGCGUGGGCAGGUGUUGGGCAGGUGUGGGCGGGGGUGGUACUUACAGGGUGGCCGGCACUGGGUGAGCAGCCGCUGGCCCACCUUCCGGAAGAUCCUGCCCAGAGGCGGGGGUAUGGCGAAGAUGGGGGGACUGUGGCAGGAGUGGGCCGGCAGCCGGUCUGGAGUGAAACCCUUUGGAUGGGGAUUUGGGGUUAUCCCCGGCUUAGGUCACCCAGCCCCUGAGCACCUGGGUUACCUGGGACAGGGCGGGGCCUCCCUCGGCUGAGCAGGGCAGGCUCUGGCUCAUCACCUGCCAGGGACCCCACGCCAGGGACCCCACGCCGAGGACCGCCGCCCACCUGUGUGAAGAAGUCGUCCUGCAGCAGGUGGUCCAGGCUGGGCCGCUCGGCCGGGUUGGGUGCUAGGAGGUGCACGAUGAGGCGGCGCGCAUUGGCAGACAGGUGAGCGGGUUCGGGGUAGUGGCCCUCACGGAUGUUUUGGUACAUCUCCGACAGGGGUGAGGCCAUGAAGGGUGGGGUGCCAGUCAGCACCGUGUACCUGGGCCAGGUGGGGGGCAAGAACCUGGGUGUCCAGGCAUCGCUCAGAGCUACCCCUGCACACUUGGCCAGACCUGCCUACACAGCUUAGCUGUGCAACCCAUAUCGGCUUCCUCAUCUCCCAACAUCCGCCUGCACCUAGCACCCUGUGCAGUCCCAUGCACGCUGCUUGGUGGACACCAGCGUCUGUCCAUCCCCUGCCUGCACCUGGCACCCUGUGCAGUCCCAUGGACCCUGCUUGGUGGACACCAGCGUCUGUCCAUCCCCUGCCUGCACCUGGCUCACCCUGAACUCACCUGCAUACACCUUUUCAAUGCUUCUAUUUUUUUUUUUUAAAGACAGGGUCUCAUUCUGUCACCCAGGCUGGAGUGCCGUUGUGCAAUCACAGCUCACUGCAGUCUCCACCUCCUGAGCUCAAGCAAUCCUCCCAACUCAGCCUCCUGAAUAGCUGGGACUACAGGUGCACACCACCACUCCUGGCUAAUUUUUGUAAUUUUUGUAGAGACAGGGUUUCACCAACUUGGCCAGGCUGGUCUUGAACUCCUGGGCUCAAGCGAUCCUCCUGCCUCGGCCUCCCAAAGCUCUAGGAUUACAGGCGUGAGUCACUGCGCCUGGCCUCCACCUUCCAAUGCUAUCCCAUGCCUGCUCACACCUGCCCUGCGCCCACACACGCUGUAUCCCUGUACACAUACGCCCUGACCUGCCUGUGCCACUGCCACCUGCCCACACCUGUCCACCUCUCUGUGCACACCCUCCCCCGUCCUCCCUCACACACGCCUCCCCACACACGUCCUGUUCAUACUGCACACUUGGCGACAGGUGCCUGUUCCACGCGCCCCACCCUGCACAACGGUCCCCACCUGUUCCGUGCAGGCUCCCCCCCCGCCACACCUGCCCCCCCCGGAGGCCCUGCCCACCUUCUCCAGGACCCCACUCACAUGAUGCAGCCCAGAGCCCAGAUGUCCUACUGGCAGGAGUGACCGUUUCUGGAGACAACCUCAGGGUCCAGGAAGUUAGGGGUCCCACAGAGUACUCUAGGAAGGGCGUCAUGGGGGGCUCAGGAAGGCUGGGAUCCCCGUGCCAGACUUCAGGGCCAGCCGUGCCCACCCGGACGGACUGCUCAGAGCCCUCCCCCCGGCUCUCACCUGUGGCAGCGGCCCCCUGGCCCCACCUUGGCCGCCAGUCCCAGGUCUCCAAUCUUCACCUCCAUGUUCUUGUUAAGGAAGAAGUUACCUGGCAGUGGGAGGGGCAUUGCGCAUGGGGGUGGAUCCGUGCCCACCUCCCGACGCCCCCGCCCACAGUUCCCCUUCCUGGCACUCACUGAGCUUCAGGUCGCGGUGCAGGAUGCACCGCUGGUGCAGGUAGCGCAGGCCGCUGACCAGGCCCCGCAGGUAGUCGCGCACUUCUGGCUCCGUCAGGAUCUGCCGCGCCCUCAGCACGUGGGCCAAAGACUGUGGGUGACCAGCGGCCCCGGAUUAGAAGGCAAAUGUAAGCUCAGCCUGGCCAAGGUGGUAUGGCUGAUUAUGGGAUGAGCACAGGUGAGCGCAGGUGCACACAGGUGAGCAAAGAUGACCCACCCCAAUAGGAGCAUGCGGGUUCAGAUGGGCCCAGGUGGCCACUGAGGGGGGGCACGAACCUUUCCCCACGGGCACAGCUGCCCGGCCCCGGCCCCGCACCUGGCACCACCUUGAGGGUGAACACGGCGCUGGUGGACAUGCUUGUCAGCUUGAGAAGGGCCAGGUGAUUAGGAGUGAACGCAGAGGGGGCAUAUUCUGGCACAGGUGGACCCAGGUGGGCUCAGGUCUACUUAAUGGGCACAGUGAGUUCACGGCCACGGUGGGCACAGCAGGGUGCAGGAGGGGCGCAGGUGACCACAGGUAGGCACAGGGGCAUGCUGGUGGGUACAGGUGGGCAUGGGUGAGUCCAAGGGGGCCAAGAAGAAGCAAACACAUUCUGAUGGGCCCAGGCGGUCACAGGUGAGUCUGAGACGGGCCUGAUGAGCACAGCGUAAGCUGGGCCCAGGUGGAUCAAGAGAGCCUGGGUGUGCCCAGGUGAGUAAAGGAUGGACACAAUUGGCCCUACGUAGGCGUAAGAAGCGCUGGCGAAUGGACAGCAGAGGGCACACAGGAUGGUACGGGGGGCAGCGGCGAGGUGCAGAUGGACACGGGGUGGACAGAGACGGGCACAGCUGACAUGAAUCCUGCCCUCUCCCCGCCCCUGGGCACCUGGCGGCUGCAGUACUCCAGCACCAUGUACACGUGGUCGCGGUCAGCAAAGUGUCCGUGGAAAGCCACGAUGUUGCGGGGUCGCAGGCGGCUAUGCAGGGCAAUCUCACGCUCCACCUGCAGGCACGGCCCCGACAUGUACCCGCCUGCAGCGGGGCACAGGCUGCAGGAUGCUCGCCUGCCUCCUGUACGAUCUCAUGGCCACCCAGGGCUGGGACCAAAGGGCAGGGCCUUCUUCGGGACACGCUGCGGGCUGCGGACUGUGGGCCCUGGGGACCGAUGGGGACACGCACCUUUCCCUGCGGGCGAAGCCACCCGGCCCCAGCCCCGCCACACGGCACCACCUUGAGGGCGAACACGGCGCUGGUGGACAUGUCUGUCAGCUUGUAGCAGCGGCUGAAGGCGCCCUGUGGGGAGGGGUCAGCAGAUCAGUGGGCAGGUGUGCACGGGUGUGCAAGCUGGCAGCGCGUACAGAGGCACAGGGCAGCCAGGGACGCAGGCGCGUCCAGGUCUCUCCACACACACACCGGGGAAAAAACAACACACAGCUCCCACCCUCCCGCCUGGACACACAAGACAUGAUGCACACAAGAAGGCACAGAGACACAGACACAGACACAUCCACGCCUGGUGCAUAGAGGCCACGGACCAGAAGACAGCACCGGAUGCACAACACCACGCCUGAAUACGACACACAAACACGCAACGCCCAGACACAGAGUCACCAUGCAUGGACACACAACACAACACCCAGAUACACAACGCAGCAACACACAAACACAUGAAUAUACAAUGUCUGGACACACAGUCACCACGUGUGGACACACAACACAAUACCCAGACACAGCACAGGAACACACAAACACAUGAACACACAACACCUGGACACACAGUACAACACAUGGACAAAGACACAGAUACAAACACAUGAACACACAACUCCUAGACACACCACAUAUGAACACACAAACACACAAGCACACCACAUGAACACACAACACCCAGACACACAACACAAUGACUGGACACACAAAGGCAUGACGCACAAACAACAGGUGAACAAGCAACACAACACCCAGACACACACACACACACACACACACACACACACGAACACCGCACAGCACCCAGACACUUGGAAGCAGCGGGCACAGACGCGGCACACUCAGACCCUCGCCAGGCUCGCACACACACCCAGGGGCAACACAGCGUCGCAUCCCGAGGCCGAGCCGCACGCCCACACCCCGGACACGCAACCCACGGACACGACGCACAGCGCGCUCAACACGGUUCCCGCCAUGCGAAACCCCGCACGGGAGGCCCCGCGGCUCCGGACGCGCGCCCGCUCCAGACCCCGCGCUCGCAGGGACGCGCCGCGUAGACCGCGCAGGAUCGCCCGCGCGCCCCGGGACCCCAGCCCAGCCCGGUCCGGCCCCGUCGCGGACUCGGGGCGCGGGCCUCCCACCUUGCCGAUCAGCUUCCCGCGCCUGUACACGCGGCCCGAGCCCGGGUCUCGCAGGAAGGCGGCGACCAGGGGGCGACUCCUGCGCCGCCGCCGCGGCCGGGGCUCCAUCGCGCGGACUCUGGCGCAGCCGGGCCGAGACCACCGCGC